Molecule: ribosomal RNA, 368 nt
Filed under: uncultured Pelotomaculum sp.
Lineage: Bacteria; Bacillati; Bacillota; Clostridia; Eubacteriales; Desulfotomaculaceae
Description: bacterial SSU rRNA
Rfam family: Bacterial small subunit ribosomal RNA
Source: RNAcentral
CCCUCGGGUGACAGGGAGGACAGGUGGUGCAUGGUUGUCGUCAGCUCGUGUCGUGAGAUGUUGGGUUAAGUCCCGCAACGAGCGCAACCCCUACGUUUAGUUGCUAACGCGUGAAGGCGAGCACUCUAGACGAACUGCCGUUGACAAAACGGAGGAAGGUGGGGAUGACGUCAAAUCAUCAUGCCCCUUAUGUUCUGGGCUACACACGUGCUACAAUGGCCGGUACAGACGGACGCAAAGCCGCGAGGUGGCGCCAAUCCAUAAAGUUGGUCUCAGUUCAGAUUGUAGGCUGCAACCCGCCUGCAUGAAGAUGGAGUUGCUAGUAACCGCAGGUCAGCUAUACUGCGGUGAAUACGUUCCCGGGGCUU